This 251-nucleotide transfer-messenger RNA is filed under the name Bartonella sp. C-583. Its description in RNAcentral is "partial small stable RNA A". The stretch from base 1 to 225 matches the Rfam family "Alphaproteobacteria transfer-messenger RNA", at positions 47 to 281 of the family's 355-position model. From Rfam's summary of the family: Bacterial tmRNA, also known as 10Sa RNA or SsrA, is named for its dual tRNA and mRNA-like properties. Its role is to liberate the mRNA from a stalled ribosome. Lineage: Bacteria; Pseudomonadati; Pseudomonadota; Alphaproteobacteria; Hyphomicrobiales; Bartonellaceae. The record is from RNAcentral.
CAUSGCUAUGGUAAAAAUGGACAAUGAAAUAAACUCGUUGGACCCGGGGGCGGUACCCGGCGCCUCCACCAAAGUGUAAUCGGUAAAGAUAUAUUUUUGUGGGGGCGAAAUAGGAUCGACAAGAGCGUAAAGAUUGCUUUUUUACUCGGCAUAGUACCACCGUUAUCGGACUAAUUUAGUAGUUGACAAUGACAACUAUGCGGAAGCACGUCUCGCUGCUUAAUGCAGUGCGAAUGUUUCAAAUUAAGUCU